This 249-nucleotide ribosomal RNA is filed under the name uncultured Actinomycetales bacterium. Its description in RNAcentral is "partial 16S ribosomal RNA". It matches the Rfam family "Bacterial small subunit ribosomal RNA", at positions 84 to 334 of the family's 1533-position model. The record is from RNAcentral. Lineage: Bacteria; Bacillati; Actinomycetota; Actinomycetes; Actinomycetales.
GGGGUGCUCGAGUGGCGAACGGGUGAGUAACACGUGAGUAACCUGCCCUUGACUUUGGGAUAACUUCAGGAAACUGGGGCUAAUACCGGAUAGGAGCUCCUGCUGCAUGGUGGGGGUUGGAAAGUUUCGGUGGUUGGGGAUGGACUCGCGGCUUAUCAGCUUGUUGGUGGGGUAGUGGCUUACCAAGGCUUUGACGGGUAGCCGGCCUGAGAGGGUGACCGGCCACAUUGGGACUGAGAUACGGCCCAG